AAGGCUUGACAUGUUAACCGUGGCUCUAGAGAUAGGGUUUACCCUUUUGGGUGGUUUUCACAGGUGGUGCAUGGUUGUCGUCAGCUCGUGUCGUGAGAUGUUGGGUUAAGUCCCGCAACGAGCGCAACCCUUGUCCCGUGUUGCCAGCACGUUGUGGUGGGGACUCGCGGGAGACUGCCGGGGUCAACUCGGAGGAAGGUGGGGAUGACGUCAAAUCAUCAUGCCCCUUAUGUCUUGGGCUUCACGCAUGCUACAAUGGCCGGUACAGAGGGUUGCGAUACUGUGAGGUGGAGCUAAUCCCUUAAAGCUGGUCUCAGUUCGGAUUGGUGUCUGCAACUCGACACCAUGAAGGUGGAGUCGCUAGUAAUCGCAGAUCAGCAACGCUGCGGUGAAUACGUUCUCGGGCC
Molecule: ribosomal RNA, 407 nt
Filed under: uncultured bacterium
Lineage: Bacteria
Description: bacterial SSU rRNA
Rfam family: Bacterial small subunit ribosomal RNA
Source: RNAcentral